AAUAGAUACCCCGGUAGUCCACGCCGUAAACGAUGUCGACUUGGAGGUUGUGCCCUUGAGGCGUGGCUUCCGGAGCUAACGCGUUAAGUCGACCGCCUGGGGAGUACGGCCGCAAGGUUAAAACUCAAAUGAAUUGACGGGGGGCCCGCACAAGCGGUGGAGCAUGUGGUUUAAUUCGAUGCAACGCGAAGAACCUUACCUACUCUUGACAUCCAGAGAACUUGGCAGAGAUGCUUUGGUGCCUUCGGGAACUCUGAGACAGGUGCUGCAUGGCUGUCGUCAGCUCGUGUUGUGAAGUGUUGGGUUAAGUCCCGCAACGAGCGCAACCCUUAUCCUUUGUUGCCAGCGGUCCGGCCGGGAACUCAAAGGAGACUGCCAGUGAUAAACUGGAGGAAGGUGGGGAUGACGUCAAGUCAUCAUGGCCCUUACGAGUAGGGCUACACACGUGCUACAAUGGCGCAUACAAAGAGAAGCGACCUCGCGAGAGCAAGCGGACCUCAUAAAGUGCGUCGUAGUCCGGA
RNAcentral lists this ribosomal RNA (521 nucleotides) under uncultured bacterium. RNAcentral's name for it is "bacterial SSU rRNA". It matches the Rfam family "Bacterial small subunit ribosomal RNA", at positions 777 to 1297 of the family's 1533-position model. The record is from RNAcentral.